AAGUUUGAUAAGUUUUCAUUAAUAGUUAUUUUAGUAACUUUCUAUAGUCGUCCUAAACGGUAUAAGGGGGAGAAGCAUAACGUCUUUAGCUAGCAGGUAGAACUGGGUUAAUUACUGCAUUGUCUUUGGCAAACAUAAUUUAAAGUUAAUUACACAACUCUUACUGCCUAUAUUCUACUCAGCAAAGUUCAUCUUAUCUUAUUCUGUUUUCAUUGCGCCAUUCUCUCUAUACAGUUUUUGAAUUUACAUACUAUAAUGUACACGGGAGUUUUUUUUUCUGUGCUUCUGCAACUGUUUCUUAGGUUUUCCUGUAAGGUUUUUGUAAUUAAUUAAAAAAUAUAUAUAUAAUUUUUUUGGCUUUAGUGGAUUCCCGCUCAGCUAACUCGGCCAUUAUGCACUACCCAGUAAACAAAAUGGCUGAACAGUAUCUUAAAUGUUUGAACAUGAGCUAGUCAUACCAUGUUACGUAAUAUUCAUGUGCAGUGUAGCAAGCUCACCUUAUAGGGGUGUAAAACAUGAGGUGUAUGAGGUGAUUGUUUAAAUUACAGGAGUAGAUGCCUGCAGCUGAAACAGUUUUCUGAUCUGAACGUGAACCUACUGGUCACGUUUACGGUAAUGUUACCAGAUAUGCAUUGUACUAUAGGAAAACGGUGGUGGAUCAGUGUGCAAAAAGCCCCCAAAAGAAACACACAGCUUCUUUAGCUCAAACACUGUCUGAUCACUCUCUUAGAUACUGUGCUGUUCCAUCUAGUUAUUGGUUACUGAGAAAUGUUUGGCUAUUAAUUUAUUAAGAGAGUGCAGCUGUUCAGAUCAGAUGGUGAAGUAGGAAAAUGCAGAACAUGUUACUAUAGCUGAAUGCUGUGUAAAAAUACUAAACUCCCAUUUAUGGCUUUUACUACUGUGGGGCUAAAUAAAAAAUUACAGACAUAAUGAAAUCUGCUACAAUUACAAAGCUUAAGUUUAAAACAAUUAUUAUAUAUUAAGCAUUUUUUUUUGCUCUUUUUUUAAAAUUCUUUUUGCUAAUAAUGGACUCAAUUUUAUUAUCAAGUUCAAAGACCUAUUAAACUUUUAAACCAUUAAAUCCAGGAAAUUAGAUGCCCGUAAAUGUACGAGACCCUCUUUAUGGCUAGUAUCCCCAAAUAUUCAAUAGUCCUUUCUAGUGCUGGGCGAUAUGGAAAAAAUAUUUGUCACGAUAUGAAUUAUUUUAUAUCAUGAUAACGAUAUAUAUCACGAUAUACCACAAUGUUUCCAGUUAUUCUCUGAAAAGUUUGAAAAAUUUCAUUCCUCACUUUUUUUCCUCAACUUUAUUUUGAAGAGACAUUUAACGGAACUGUCACAAUUGAGAAACAUACAUUUUAGUAUAAAUGUAUCAAAUGAAAAUAGCUGUGGCCUUCACAUUUUUUUUUCAAAACGUACAUUUAAAAUGAAUUGUCAAAAUAAACUUAAAGUGCACAACAGUUUCAAGUUUCUGAGAAGAAAACUCAGAUUUGCACAAAAGUUCAGCUAUAAAAAAUAAACAAAUUAUUUCUUAACUUUCUGAAAUCUGUAACCUUGUACUGCAAAGUUUGCAAACCAAUAUAAAAUGACAAAAGUAAGCAUCACAGUUGAACAGAACUCUGUUUAAGGCAUUAACCAUAAAUUAAAGUGCAAACAGAAAAUGGCUACUUUGCAGAAGUAGAUAUGUUACUUUUGAAUUUACAGGUUGAGUGCAAGGAAGACUAAUUGGUCAACUGUGUUUGGCUUAAGACAUGACCUCUUACAUGUGAUGAUGUUCCCACUCGCACUGAAAGCCCUUUCAGAUGAAGAACUAGUAGCAGGAAUGCACAAGUACUUUCUGGCCAGCCUGGCCACCAAUGGAAAGUUUGUCUCAUGCUGCUUCCACCACUCCAGUGGGUCAGUCUCUGAGUCAGGUCCAGGUGAUACAUGGAGAGCUCCAGUUCAAUGGAUGCUCUACUGGGUUGGGAGUGGGUGGUGGAUUGACCUGCCUUUUUGAAGUAGCUACCUAAACUUUUCUUUUUCUUUGUGGGACGGGGAAGCUCUGGAUCAUCGUCAGCAGCUGGGGGUGAACUGGAGGCUGCUGCUGUUUGUGCACUUUCUGGUGCUGUUGCUCCCACCAUGUCCACCAGCUCUGCUGCAGCUCUCAUCUUUAUGAACUCCACCCUCUCUUCCUUGAUAUUCUUCAAGAUCACAAGCACCAUCUUUGACAUCACGCUCCUCCAGAUGUAGUCGUGUUUAUGUGAACCAUCUGACGCAUGAGGGCGAGUCUGCCUGUUACCUGGCAGCGCAGCGUGGACACCUGGAGGUGGUCCAACUGCUCCUCAAAGCACACGCUGAUAUCAACCAGCUCACUAACGACUUGUCCUGUCCUCUUUAUGAACGUAUUACAACUGCGCUUCACUGAUGUUUAAUUUUUUUCUGUUUUUGCUUGUCUAACCCUUUAAGCUCCUCUAACCAAAUGAAUGUCCCAAAAUUUGCUUCCAGCUGUUAGCCACGGGCACACAAAUGUUGUAGAACUGCUGGUAAGCAAAGGUGCUGAGGUCAGCAGAAUACACACAGAGUCCAGCUGGACCUGCCUGCACCAAGCUGCAUAUAAGGGCCACACUGAGAUCGUGCGCAUUCUUGUUAAUAAAUGCAACCUGGAGGCAGUAGAUGAUCACAGGAUUUCCCCGUUAUUUGUGGCUGCACAGUAUGGACAGAGGGGGUGCCUGGAAAUACUCGUUAACGCCGGUAAAUAUGAUUUUCUUUUAAUGGUAGCUGUACAUUUUUUUCCCUCCUUGUUAAAGGAUCUCAUGCUCCAUGUCCUCUUGGCCUCUUCUUUAGGAAGUAAUUAAGUAAAAUAGAUUACACAGUUAAUUUUUUAACCUGCUUUCACUUCAGGUGCCGACGUGAACACGCAGGCAGUUGAUCUGAGAACACCUCUGUUCAUCUCUGUAUCCACUGCGCGGCUUUCCCACGCAAACUACUCCGCCGCAGGCUAGCUCGCCAGGCUAACCUGUCGAGUGGCGACCCUUUGCUGUGUGAGGCUGCUGUGGCGCAAGGAGAAAUUGAGAUGCCCGAUGAUUUGGCCGCAACGCCAGGGCCGAGCUGGGCAGAGGUAGACCCUCAGCCCAUCGCGACCGCUUUCUGCUCUGUGUGGCUCUAAACCAAGUAUAUUUUGCUGGCUGCUGGCUUCCUCUUCUCCUGAAGGCAGGACUGGAACCAUCUUUACUGCUUCAGCCCCACAUAUAAGGCGCCACACCACCUCUGUCUCAUGUUUCUCCCAAAGGGCCACACUGCGAUCGUGCGCAUUCUUGUUAAUAUCUCCUUAGUAAUCAACAAGCUGUAAUAGGUUUGUUCCAGGAAUGGGCCUCUAAAAAUCAAAAACUUGACUUUGUUUAAUUUGGCCAAUCACAGUUUCAGGGUUACCCUCUCAUGCACAGCUGCUGUUUGGAGAAAUCAGAGGAGGAUAUUCUAAGUAAACAGUUCUCUAACUUUCUGACUCCCCCCACUUCAGAAGCCAAAAUAAGGUCAAACCCCACAGUUAACAGGUUUUAUUAGUCAGUGAUGUUAAACAAGGAUCCCAAUUAAAUUUUAGUGACAUUAAGAUCAGCAUAGUAGCAUUUGCAUUAGCCUGUUUUUGCCGGCCAAAAUCAAAUUCACUCAUCUUAUUUGCUCUCAGUUUAUUUUCCUAACGUCACUCACCAGCAGUGGCCCUUUUCGCCCAUCAAAAGAGGACUUUGGGGGAAUAAUCUUAAAAAAAAAAAAAAAAAAAAAAAAAAAAGCUUCUGUAUUUAAAGCUGUCUGGUUAUGCCUGAGAAAAUUCUUUUAAACAGGAGAUCGGCUAAAUUUAAGUCAGGAUCCAAAGCUGGUUGAUCACCCAUCAUCAUUAUCUGUUCCUUUGUGUCAUCUGUUCUUUGUACGCUGGAAGAUGCAGACAGCCAAGUGUUAAAUUACCUCCCUCAGUUUGUAAACUGGUCGACUUUAUCUCCACAUUUGAAAGAUAUUCUGGAUCGAAGGGUGGCAGAAAAGUCCUGGGAUCCACAUCCAUGUUUCGGUACAGCAGUAAAUAUGCACUGCAGAGGUUAAAUAACCUGCACGUGGAAACACUGCAGCGAUUGAUCUUUUCUCUCCACCUUCUUUCAGACUCCGUCCCCUGUCUUUCACACAUCUGCCGGCUGCAGGUCAGAGCACUGCUGGGACCAGAUAUCCUGAUGAGGACCAAUGUCGUCCAGCAGCUUCCUGUCCCCAACUGGCUUCAUGAAUUUCUUAAAUUCAGGGAGAUCCCAGAAGCUUCGUACACACAUGCGCCACCAUCACCUAUUUCACAGCGACUCUGGGAUUAUCCCAGUAUACACCAGCACAGACAUAACCACAUCCAUAUUCUUUAUUAAAUGCAAAUAUUUGAGUCUGGUUCAUCAUUUUAUGCACAUUCCUAUUUGGAGUAUGGCUGGAUUGGAGGUUUAAACAGAAGAAUGUCAGGUACAGAAGAGGGACAAAUUAAUAGAAAAACCAAAAAGCCUCUUACUAAGGUGUUGGACCACCAGAACAGCACUACUGCUCCUUUAUGUUUAUUCUUGAAAUGUCUGGAAAGUCACUGGAGCGCUGGACACUAUUCUUCCAAAAGAUAUUCCCUCCUAUGUUUGAUGAUGUUGGAGAGGACUGUCUAAUGGUCAAACAUCUCCCACAGGCGUUCAUUUGGUAUCUCUUCUUGUGGGUUAUUCUUGAGUGUGAGUUUGUUUAGCAUUGUCUGUGUGUGUGUGUGUACAAAGAUAACAACGUCACUCAGAACAGCGGGUUUUUCCCUUUUCUACAUCUGAAUGUUCUCUGAAAACAGGAAGCGGUUAGUAGCUGAAUAAGUUCAUCAUCACAAGAGUUAUUAGGUGAAAAGUCACAUAGACAUGUGGUUUGCUUAGUGAUACAAAAAGAGCACAUUUCAUGUGGCUGAUCACAUUAUGUACAAUUUUCUUUUAACAUUCCCUCCUGUUUAUCAGAGAAAUGAAAUGUACAUGUUAUCAGUAAGUAACUACUUGUCUUUCACAUUUUCAGUUACUACAUCAUUAGUUACACUUCAUCUUCAUCUAACAAAUAGGAAAAUAAGUCUUCAUGAUCUUCAUCGGUUUUUGGUACAUCUGCGUAUGCUGUGAGUGACAAACUUAUCUGUGAAAUUACAGCUUUUAAACAAGGAAUAACUCAAAUAAAGAAAACAAAAUAAAACCAGGGAUACUCCAACGCCGAUCAACAGUCUCUUUAAAACCUGUUAAAGUUGAGCGCUUCUUCCUGGAUGAGGAUGUUGAUGUUGUUGUUGUGCGCUUUACAAAAGUCAUUCUGAAGGUGUGGUCGGAGAUCAGAAUUAGUGCACCUGUUCCAGGGUGUUUCCCAUAAAUGGUUGUGUUAAUACGCUCGGCAUGUGCGAGCAAACGUAACAGUCUUUCUCUGUGGUCCUGUUAAACAUGUAUCUGUAACAGGCAUUUUCAUCCAAGGAUGGAUGUAGUCUCGUGUCAUGUCCAUUAGGUGGAGGUUGUCGUGCGUCCAUCUUCUCUGUCUGCCUCGUGGCUCAGCUGCUGUUGGCAUCAGCUGAGGUCCUGUAAGGGUGAGCUUUGUAGUCAAGGUAACCAGGAGGGUUCCCCUUCCCAUGGUUGCACAUAGGUCCAUCACACCUGCACCUGGCUGCCCUAAAGUUGAUCGGAUGGAGAUUGGAGUGCGGGCUUACCCGACGGGGGCCCAAUCAGCACUUCCCCCCCUCACCCCCGAAGCAACCAAGCGUAGGUGAGACUUCCCGAAUGUGCUUCCUCCUUGGUGUCAGGGCUUCCCGGGACCUCAGUCUUUUUGCAGUGGCUCUGACGUAUCCAGGAGGGUCUCUCUUUGGGCUGCACAAUUAAUCGUUAGAAAAUCGCGAUCUCUUUUCCAAAUGACGAUUUAAAAAAAAAAAAAAAAAAAAAUGACGAUUGUACUGAAUUUUGAUCUGGGACAUAAUCUGCAUGAAAACAAGCACUCACUCUUCCAACAAAUGACAAUACCGAAGCCAGCUGGCAGGGAAAAAACAACGGAGAGCACGUGAGAGAUGACGAAGCUGUAAAGGCCAAGAAAGUGACAGGAGAGAAUCCGUCCCGGUCAACCACAUCAACAACGGGAACUUGAUACAGCGCUUCCCCAUAACCGUCAAACUCCCGCAGGCACAAAGAAAUUAUGGAGGCUAUCACUUAUCACCUGGCUA
Oreochromis aureus is the source of this 6193-nucleotide RNA transcript. It is a transcript of the gene named ankyrin repeat and SOCS box protein 3-like, with no coding region annotated. Lineage: Eukaryota; Metazoa; Chordata; Actinopteri; Cichliformes; Cichlidae. The transcript is spliced from 4 exons. The record is from RefSeq and is a predicted model, not a curated record.